This is a long non-coding RNA of Brassica napus (rape), 654 nucleotides long. RefSeq lists it as uncharacterized. The transcript has 3 exons. NCBI's taxonomy places the organism in Eukaryota, Viridiplantae, Streptophyta, Magnoliopsida, Brassicales, Brassicaceae. The record is from RefSeq and is a predicted model, not a curated record.
AUGCGUUCUCAUUCUCAUUAUGUUUCUUCUUUCAUCAAAACUUCUUCUUAGGCGUUUGUUUGUUCAUAAGUUUUGGUUUUAAUCUCUUGUUCGUUAUGAUGUUUUACCAAAAUCGUUUUAUGAUUCUCUUGUACCCUUACGUUAUUCUUUUUCUUUUUAAUGGCAAACUCAAAUCCGGUGGUCAAGUUGAUGAUGACCAAUCUCAGAUCCUUGAUCCUGGUAGGGAUGAUGAUGAGGGCUUAAACCCACAUCCUUGAUCGCUGAUUAGGAAUGGUCUUAGAUGUUUCUUUUUUUGUUUUUUCUGUUUCAUUCGGAUGAUUUUAUGAAAUCGUUUUCUAUGUUUUUAAAAAAAAAAACUAUAUGAUUUUCAGUGGUAAUUCUCUAUGGGUCAAUCCCAUACCACAAUGGUUUAAUUGCCGUGUCCCACAUACCCAAAGCCCAAUACUAUUCGGCCCAAUAUGAUUUAAUGCCCUGAUAUUUAGUGGCUUUCGGUUCGUUGUUUCAAUCUCUAGGGUUUUUCAAAAGUCGACUCUCCCUCACCGGCGAGAUAUUCAACCGAGUCUCAGGCUUGUUUUCGAAAGUCGCAUCUCUCUCUCUCUUUCUACAGAGAUAUUCCACCACGAUUUGCAGAAUGACUGGAACAGAUAAAGCUUU